Non-coding RNA from Viridothelium virens, 71 nucleotides. The record is from the annotation of a GenBank genome assembly. NCBI's taxonomy places the organism in Eukaryota, Fungi, Ascomycota, Dothideomycetes, Trypetheliales, Trypetheliaceae.
AGCGUGUUAAUUUAAUGGUAGAAUAUUAUGAUACGGCCAUAAUAGCAUAAGUUCAAAUCUUAUACACGUUG